GAAAACGGGUGGCCCAAUUGGGUUGGGCGAUGGACUGCUAAUUUCCAAAUUUUGGGGUUUCUGCCCCCGUGGGUUCGAAUCCCAUCCCUUUUCG
Trichonephila inaurata madagascariensis is the source of this 94-nucleotide non-coding RNA. The record is from the annotation of a GenBank genome assembly. Lineage: Eukaryota; Metazoa; Arthropoda; Arachnida; Araneae; Nephilidae.